Molecule: long non-coding RNA, 2047 nt
Filed under: Hordeum vulgare
Lineage: Eukaryota; Viridiplantae; Streptophyta; Magnoliopsida; Poales; Poaceae
Description: long non-coding RNA (HVUL_LNC019218)
Rfam family: MIR1120/MIR1122 microRNA precursor family (bases 1269-1404)
Source: RNAcentral
GGGUGGCAUGGGUGGUAUGCCUGGAAUGGAAGGUUUGGGCGGCAUGGGCGGUAUGCCCGGCAUGGAAGGUUUGGGUGGCAUGGGUGGUUUGGCUGGUAUGAUGGGCGGAAUGGGCGGUAUGGGCAUGCCGCCUGGUAUGGAAGGUUUGGGUGCUAUGGGGAUGGAUGAGUUUGAGGAUGAGAGUGACGACGAAGGUUAGUAUUCCUGUGCCUGUUCUCAUUUUCUCAUUAUAGUUGAUGUGUUUUAAGCAUAGUUCAAAAAAGCGCUAGGCGUUAAUUGUGCGUUUUGCCACUGCCUUGCGCUUUUCUGACCAAAGCACAUGCUUAUGCGCAGAUUAAGCGCAGUUAUGCGCUAGGCGUCGCCUAGACCCUAGGCGCACUUAAGCUAGGCACACCUUCUUUAACUAUGGUUUUUAGAUACAGAAAAACGGACUCAUUUUCUCAUUAUAGUUGGUGAAAAUCCAAAUGACGGUUGUUUUGCUAAGGGCAUUUUUGUUGGUGUGGUCAUUAUUUUUAGCUGAAUCUGCCUGACAGGUCAAUUGAUCAUUCCCUUGUCUCCUCUUUUAUGUGAAAUUGCUCGGUACCAAGUCCCUUCAUCCUGUUUAUUUCAUCUGGCAUUUAUUGGCACUAAAUGAGCUAUUGAUCCUUGCUAAGGGCAUUUUCGGUGGUGUGGUCAUUAUAUUUAGCUGAAUCUGCCUGACAAGUCAAUUGAUCAUUCCCUUGUUUCCUCUUUUGUGAAAUUGCUUAUCCUCUUUAUUUCAUCUGAUAUUUCUUGGCACUAAAUGAGCUACUGAUCCUUUAAAUGGUAACUUUCUUUUUUGCUCUGAGGGUAGUCAUGGUUCUGGUUAUAAUAUGUUAAAUAUGUUAUUGUCAAGGAAGUAUGUUAUGCCUUGUGUACUCAUGAAAUAUUGAUAGAAUGCCCAACAUAGUUUAAUAUGUUAUCCACAACAGGAAUUGAAAUAGCUUAACUAGAGAAUUCAAAUUUUGAAUUAAAGAAAACUGUUUCAUCUCAAAUAUGUGAUCUAUUUUUCUCCAGAACUACAUAUUGUGUAUGGAUUUAUAUCGGUAGAAACCAAACAAUUUAUUUUGUUAGGCUCAUGUACUAGUUAAGAAAUGCAGUUUAUGACUUUGCACUAUAAUUAUUUUGAUUAUAUAAGGUGUACUAUUUUUUUUUGAAAAGUUACAUUUUAUGUUUGAUAAAUGAUCAAGUUCAUAGAAAACUAGUAGUAAAUGUGCAUAUUAGGCUGUAUAUUUAUUGCAUGUGGAUAUUUGAUACUCCCUCCGUCCCAAAAUUCUUGUCUUAAGUUUGUCUAGAAAUGUUUGUAUCUAAAUACUAAAACAUGAAUAGAUACAUUCAUAUUUAAACAAAUCUAAGACAAGAAUUUUGGGACGGAGGGAGUAGUUAUUAUUUCCGUGUUAAUUAUGUGAUUAGCACUAACGUUGAUAUUUGGUAUGAUAAAACAUGUUGAGAGCGCUCACCAUUGGAGCAAGUAAUCUAGAUGGUUGGAUUGACCUGUUUUGAUGGCUGAGAUUAGUUGGAUCUGCCCCUUUGGGUCUUUUUAUAUUGGUAUAGGUACAGAUUAUAAAUAAUACGAAAUAAAUAAAUUUUGAAAAUCUAAGUCAUGGUGAAUGAUACUGAUUUGGUGUUAUGAUUUUUGAUAUGCUGCUUUCUGGUCAAAAAUAGAAGUUUGACUUGUCCAAAAACUAACUACACCUGAUAUUUUUGAAACGGAGGGAGUAAAUUUUAUGAUGGCGAUGAUAAUUCAAUAUCUGAACAAAUUUGUUCGUCGAAAUUUAGAAAUGUGCCCUUUAGGUGUCAAUGGAUGUACUGUAUUUAUCCUUGUUAUAUUAUGUUAAAUUUAGUCCUGUAAAACAUUCUCAUAUACCCUUUAUCUUCUGUUGCUCUUGAUUAGGGGAAGUGUCAAAACCUCAAGACGCAGGGAAGGCUGAUGCCGCCCAAAUCUCCCAGGAGGUGGAAGGCAAAGCUGGCCCACCAGCUCAGAGCAACUGAAAGCAUUCCACUCAAUAAUCCCUACUCGAUUGUAUCC